This 1986-nucleotide small RNA is filed under the name Pongo abelii (Sumatran orangutan). Its description in RNAcentral is "retained intron". Lineage: Eukaryota; Metazoa; Chordata; Mammalia; Primates; Hominidae. The record is from RNAcentral.
GGAGGUCCGGCUGCGUCUUCCUGUAGCGCUACCCGCCAUGCGCCUGCCGCGCCGGGCCGCGCUGGGGCUCCUGCCGCUUCUGCUGCUGCUGCCGCCCGCGCCGGAGGCCGCCAAGAAGCCGACGCCCUGCCAUCGGUGCCGGGGGCUGGUGGACAAGUUUAACCAGGGGAUGGUGGACACCGCAAAGAAGAACUUUGGCGGCGGGAACACAGCUUGGGAGGAAAAGACGCUGUCCAAGUACGAGUCCAGCGAGAUUCGCCUGCUGGAGAUCCUCGAGGGGCUGUGCGAGAGCAGCGACUUCGAAUGCAACCAGAUGCUAGAGGCGCAGGAGGAGCACCUGGAGGCCUGGUGGCUGCAGCUGAAGAGCGAAUAUCCUGACUUAUUCGAGUGGUUUUGUGUGAAGACACUGAAAGUGUGCUGCUCUCCAGGAACCUACGGUCCCGACUGUCUCGCAUGCCAGGGCGGAUCCCAGAGGCCCUGCAGCGGGAAUGGCCACUGCAGCGGAGAUGGGAGCAGACAGGGUGACGGGUCCUGCCAGUGCCACGUGGGGUACCAGGGCCCGCUGUGCACAGACUGCAUGGAUGGCUACUUCAGCUCACUCCGGAACGAGACCCACAGCAUCUGCACAGCCUGUGACGAGUCCUGCAAGACGUGCUCAGGCCUGACCAACAGAGACUGUGGCGAGUGCGAAGUGGGCUGGGUGCUGGACGAGGGCGCCUGUGUGGAUGUGGACGAGUGUGCGGCCGAGACACCUCCCUGCAGUGCUGCACAGUUCUGUAAGAACGCCAACGGCUCCUACACAUGCGAAGAGUGUGACUCCAGCUGUGUGGGCUGCACAGGGGAAGGCCCAGGAAACUGUAAAGAGUGUAUCCCUGGCUACUCGAGGGAGCACGGACAGUGUGCAGAUGUGGAUGAGUGCUCACUAGCAGAAAAAGCCUGUGUGAGGAAAAACGAAAACUGCUACAAUACUCCAGGGAGCUACGUCUGCGUGUGUCCUGACGGCUUCGAAGAAACGGAAGAUGCCUGUGUGCCGCCGACAGAGGCUGGUGAGUGGCACGGCUCUCUCCACACAGGCUGCCCUCCCCUGGGCCGCGGGGCUUGCACGCAGACUGGCUGCUUGGUCUGAAAUCCACACAGACAAUGGCCUUGGGAUGGUGAGAGGGGGAUUCCCGGAAGACAGGUGCAUAACACCUGUGUGGGCACACUUGGCGCAGAGAGGUACCGGCUUCCUGAGGAUGAAGCCCCAGGUUCACAGCUCAAAUGGAAGUUAAGGCGAUGAAAGGGGAAGUCUCUGAAGCUCAGACCUCAGCGGGCGAUGAACAGAGGAGCAGACGCCGGAGAAGAGGCAGCUAAGGAGCUGGAAAAGUCAUCUGGGGAGGCUGCCCAGGGUGCCACAAGGACAGGGACAGGCAGGAAGUGGUGGAGGGCAAGCAAGUCCCCCAUACCUGUUUCCUGGGGCUGCCUUACCAAGAACCACGAACUUGGGGCUCCAGCAACAGAAAUGUGCCUCUCACAGGAGCCAGAAGUCAGAGGCCCAGACGCAAGCAGGCUGCUUCCUUGGGAGGCUGGGCGGGCGCGUCUGUUCCAGGCCUCUGUCCUCGCCUGGGGAUGCCACCUGCUCCCCGUGUCUUCACGUGGUCUCCAUGUGGGUGUCUGUCUCUGUCCAAACCUCCCCUCUUUGUAAGGACACCAGUCACUAAUGCCCUCGUGUUAACUUGGUCGUUGGUAAAGACCCUAUUUCCAAACAAGGUCACAAUCACAGGUACUGGGAGUAAAGACUUCAGCGUGUUUUGGGGGACAUAGAUCUGCCCGUGACAGCCCUCACAGAAGUCUAGAACAUAGAGAGUGGGAAAGAAGCAGUGUUCAAGGAGAUAUUGGCUAAGGGUUUUUCAGAAUGAAUAAGGCAUGAUUCAGAUUCCAGAAGCUGUUUCCUGAGCAGGACACAUAAAAGCAAUUCCACAUCUAGAAGCAUCGCAGCAACAGCAA